AUGAUGAUGAUCAGUUACCCCUAAUAAAACCUGUUUUCUUGCAGUGGAUGAUCGCAUGAAAGCUUCAUCUGAAAACUCGGAAAUAGAGAAGGCCUUCACACACUAGAGCAGCAAAAAGACCCCCCACCCAAGGAGGAAAACAUCAGAACAGCUACAAUCUACGCUUUAGAUACAGAAAUGCAAGAGGUUCUUCAGAGAUCCUAUUUAACUGAAUAUGAAAAGGCUAGACUUUGAGAGCCAACUUCAAAAAUAUUUAACGCAUGUGCAGCAGGGAGAAGCAGAAAAGGGAGAACUAAACCUGUUUCUACCACAGCCCAAGACCUCUGGUGAGGUUUCCCAUAAUUCUGAGACCUUCUUCCAAGAGGUCUUGGACAGUCUGCCUGUGCGCUCGAAGAACUCUGAAAAGAUUUUGUUAAACAAGUUGAAGCAGAAUGCUGCGAUUUCAUCAUGGGAUGAGAAGGGCACUUUUAUAUAUAAGGGCAAGACUGUUAUUGGUUCCAACAUGCUGGAUCUGGUCAAAGCAAUCACCCAAGUUCACAGGUUGCCACCCAACCGUUUUCCUAAAUGCUGGGAUGUGUUUAUGAGGGCUCUGGCUGAACUAAAUGUUCCAGCAUCUGUAGCCGGAAAGCAUACCACCAGGGUUGCUCUAGAAUAUCUUAAAAAAAUCCAAGUGCUGUGUCUGUGUCUCCAGCCGUCUCUCGCAGGGUUUCUAAAAAACCAGGGAAAUCAUCUAAAGUUUAAAUGUCUUUAUGUUUUUCAGAUGUAAAAUAAAAUUGAUUGCAUGAA
This is a long non-coding RNA of Hemicordylus capensis (graceful crag lizard), 786 nucleotides long. RefSeq lists it as uncharacterized. The record is from RefSeq and is a predicted model, not a curated record. NCBI's taxonomy places the organism in Eukaryota, Metazoa, Chordata, Lepidosauria, Squamata, Cordylidae. The transcript is spliced from 2 exons.